This is a long non-coding RNA of Silurus meridionalis, 1847 nucleotides long. RefSeq lists it as uncharacterized. NCBI's taxonomy places the organism in Eukaryota, Metazoa, Chordata, Actinopteri, Siluriformes, Siluridae. The transcript has 3 exons. The record is from RefSeq and is a predicted model, not a curated record.
UGGUGCUCACAAGGUUUUUCACAGGUUGUAACAGGAUGAAAUUAAGGCAAAUCCUUUUUUGUAGUUGCAGUAGUAGUAGUAGCAGCAAUAAUAAUGGAUGCUCAAAAUAAAGUACGUUAAUACACAGAAUGGAGAUUAUAUGACAGCGCAUGGUCAAGAGAAAUACUCAAACCAUAUUUGCAGUGGGAUACAACAAAAAAGAGAAGAGUCAGGGUCUGUGUGCAAACACAGAUGCAUACACACCACCACAGACCAGAGAGCACACACCCAGGCACAGGUGAACCUUGCUUUAUGUGCUCCCCACCAGGCUUCUAUCCUACUAUAGUUCAAGCAUGUUCCAAGGGUCAGGCAUAGUGCCCAGCAUGUGCCUGCACUUGGUCAGAUCAGGUCCAAACACCCCAGAGAUGGGUUUGCAGACUUCCAUGCUUGGAGACGUUUGAUCUUGCUCUGAGAGAGGCUCCAUUACUGUGCCUUUAAUUAACUCCAGCAGCAGCCACUUCCUGGUUCGAGGACCUCACCACACUGCUUGCAGGCAGUAAUCUUUUGCAGGUGACUGUCAGCUGCACAUCAAACGUCAGGAUGGGCUAGCCUUAGUUCUCAGGUAUUUCAGUUAGUAAUAGAGAUGGCUGUCACUUCUGCAGGCUCUUUUCGGCUGUACAUGGCAGAUGCACUGAAGCUGAGCUAACACAGGCCAGUUGCAGUGUGGCUAGCAGACACUGCUGUGAUUCACAGCUCCAUCUCUAUGACCAGAGUGUUCCCAGCUUUCAACCAAGAGGGUGUCAAAUUAUGCAAAAGUAUGUCUCCCAUCUACUGUCAUAAGCUGAUGAUGUUGGCUCAUGUUUUCUAAUGCUUUUGCAAAAAAAAGAUCAACAACAGGUCUAAGUUUGGGCAGAGUAUAUAGAAAUACGUUGUUCAAAUAAGAAUAUUUUCCUUCAAUAUCAGCUGUAGCCAUUUUUACAGAUGCCAAAAAAUAUUGAUAUUAAUACAUUCACUUUCACCACCUUACUUUUGUCCCUGAUAAAUAAUUGACCACUUGAUAAAAGUUUGUCAUACAUAAGAAAAAAAAAGUGAGACUUUGUGAUCUGGUCAGGCAUACUAAUACAUUACACUCAUUAAAUAGGAGAAAGAUUCUUAUUACCAAGCAUGCACCAAUGCCCUUUAAGUUUGCCAGGGCUAGCAUAUACACAGUACUUUGAAAGCCCUGCCUGGCAUAUUAAGCACAUUUUAAUAAAAUUCUUUUGAGGUUCCUGGUAGGAUGCACAGUAAUUCCUUGCCUUUAAGUCCCCACACCUCAGAGUGAUCUCAUCAGAUAGCCAAUGCUGCAUUAGAUCAGGCCUGAACAUUGCAGACGCUGGCGGGAAGGGGAGGGGGAAUGCAAGGCAAAUUAAACCAGCAGUCUGCACUUCCCAGAGCAGGCCAUUCUCUUCUUAAAGACAUGAAACCGAGAGAUGUGGCUGGUUGGCAGUGCUUUGAUGUGGAAAAGAUGCCUAGUUUAAAGCUCAGAAAUAGAAGAUUUUACAAGAGAUUUAGUAGGAUUCCCUUCAGUGAUCAGCGGGUGAGGCAGCCUUUUCACAGGUCAAUCAUGCAUACCAAAAAGGUUCCAUUACACCACUUACACAUACUGCUGUGAAUAAGAUUUAACUACAUUAUCAACUCUUGAUAUUGUCCAUUAUAACUGUCUAACUUUAAUAAAGAUGAAUGAACAAUGUAAGUUGUAAAGGUGUAACUGAAAAGAGGCUUGUAUAAGUGACAAUUGAUAAACAAGAAGAAAUAAUAAAAAUUAUUGCUUUCCAUGGAAGAAACACAUUGAAAGUGUUAAAGAUCAUUGUCAGUUACCUAGUGUCUCA